CCUUUCUUAUAUUACAUGGGAACCACUCAGAAUGCGUCUCCUUCCUCCUGCUCCCCACUUAGGGAGGAGAGGAACGGUCAUCAAUGACCGAAGGCUAUGUCCCACCAAGCUAGGGACAGCCCCGAUCGCCUUCACGCUCAGAAGGAGACGCUAUUUCUCUUCAUCGUGGGUUUAGGUCCAGUCAGGUUUAUCUGACGUCCCGGCGAUACAUACUAUAGAAAUGAUCCCUAAAAGUAUGAUCUUACCUGGUUAAGAUAACAUUUUGUUUUUGUUUACCUGUAUUUGUCACUAAGUGUAGGUGUUUGGUAUGGUUUUAACAGUUGCACCGAAAUAAAACAAAGAGACUAGUGUGUGUGCUUAUAAUAAUAUUAUUU
RNAcentral lists this long non-coding RNA (374 nucleotides) under Mytilus galloprovincialis (Mediterranean mussel). The record is from RNAcentral. Lineage: Eukaryota; Metazoa; Mollusca; Bivalvia; Mytilida; Mytilidae.